GCUAACGUCCGUCGUGGAGAGGGAAACAACCCAGACCGCCAGCUAAGGUCCCAAAGUCUAUAUUAAGUGGGAAACGAAGUGGGAAGGCUUAGACAGCUAGGAUGUUGGCUUAGAAGCAGCCAUCAUUUAAAGAAAGCGUAAUAGCUCACUGGUCGAGUCGGCCUGCGCGGAAGAUGUAACGGGGCUAAACCAUGCACCGAAGCUGCGGCAGCGACACUAUGUGUUGUUGGGUAGGGGAGCGUUCUGUAAGCCUGUGAAGGUGUACUGUGAGGUAUGCUGGAGGUAUCAGAAGUGCGAAUGCUGACAUAAGUAACGAUAAAGCGGGUGAAAAGCCCGCUCGCCGGAAGACCAAGGGUUCCUGUCCAACGUUAAUCGGGGCAGGGUGAGUCGACCCCUAAGGCGAGGCCGAAAGGCGUAGUCGAUGGGAAACAGGUUAAUAUUCCUGUACUUGGUGUUACUGCGAAGGGGGGACGGAGAAGGCUAUGUUGGCCGGGCGACGGUUGUCCCGGUUUAAGCGUGUAGGCUGGUUUUCCAGGCAAAUCCGGAAAAUCAAGGCUGAGGCGUGAUGACGAGGCACUACGGUGCUGAAGCAACAAAUGCCCUGCUUCCAGGAAAAGCCUCUAAGCAUCAGGUAACAUCAAAUCGUACCCCAAACCGACACAGGUGGUCAGGUAGAGAAUACCAAGGCGCUUGAGAGAACUCGGGUGAAGGAACUAGGCAAAAUGGUGCCGUAACUUCGGGAGAAGGCACGCUGAUAUGUAGGUGAAGCGACUUGCUCGUGGAGCUGAAAUCAGUCGAAGAUACCAGCUGGCUGCAACUGUUUAUUAAAAACACAGCACUGUGCAAACACGAAAGUGGACGUAUACGGUGUGACGCCUGCCCGGUGCCGGAAGGUUAAUUGAUGGGGUUAGCGGUAACGCGAAGCUCUUGAUCGAAGCCCCGGUAAACGGCGGCCGUAACUAUAACGGUCCUAAGGUAGCGAAAUUCCUUGUCGGGUAAGUUCCGACCUGCACGAAUGGCGUAAUGAUGGCCAGGCUGUCUCCACCCGAGACUCAGUGAAAUUGAACUCGCUGUGAAGAUGCAGUGUACCCGCGGCAAGACGGAAAGACCCCGUGAACCUUUACUAUAGCUUGACACUGAACAUUGAGCCUUGAUGUGUAGGAUAGGUGGGAGGCUUUGAAGUGUGGACGCCAGUCUGCAUGGAGCCGACCUUGAAAUACCACCCUUUAAUGUUUGAUGUUCUAACGUUGGCCCCUAAUCGGGGUUGCGGACAGUGUCUGGUGGGUAGUUUGACUGGGGCGGUCUCCUCCUAAAGAGUAACGGAGGAGCACGAAGGUUGGCUAAUCCUGGUCGGACAUCAGGAGGUUAGUGCAAUGGCAUAAGCCAGCUUGACUGCGAGCGUGACGGCGCGAGCAGGUGCGAAAGCAGGUCAUAGUGAUCCGGUGGUUCUGAAUGGAAGGGCCAUCGCUCAACGGAUAAAAGGUACUCCGGGGAUAACAGGCUGAUACCGCCCAAGAGUUCAUAUCGACGGCGGUGUUUGGCAC
RNAcentral lists this ribosomal RNA (1544 nucleotides) under metagenome. RNAcentral describes it as "bacterial LSU rRNA". It matches the Rfam family "Bacterial large subunit ribosomal RNA", at positions 997 to 2524 of the family's 2925-position model. The record is from RNAcentral.